GUGGAAGUUAAAAUGGAGGACGGCUCAGCAGGCGACUUAUUGACUGUAAUGUUGCCAUUAGCUAGCAGUACUGAGUGUCUCACUAUAUCCACAUACAUCCCGUUGCCUAAUCAACCAUUUAAGGACUGGUAUUGCAGGAAUAUGUGUUAAAGGAGGGCUUUUGAGGUAUUUGCCGCAAUCUGAAUAAGCUUGAAGCUUCUCCCCCACCACUUAAAUGCAACACAGCCCUUGUUCCUGUAAUGCUUAAGCCCUUCACAUGCCUGAGGAUCUUGCACUACGUUGCUGGUCAAGAUGCCAUCCCAAUAGGAUAACGAUGCGGGAAUGUGAGGAUCUAGAUGGUGGUUGUGGGAGCCACACAACUGGGAAUAGAGUACCUAAUGACUUGCAGGGCUAUCCAAUGACAUUUCUAUCAAUGACAACACAAUACCUGAACCUUCACCAGCUUCUGAUGGAAAGAUUUCUCCUUUGCCACAGUUGGGUAUCCUUUAAUCUUUUUACGGCACACACUUCAACAGCUUGGAUUGACACAUCUUUCAAAGAGGUGGCAGUAGGCCAUCCUUAAUCUACAACGUUGUAGCCAUUGUGUGCUCACUUUACACUCUCAGGUUGAGGGUACUACUCCAUCCUUCAUCAGUAAGGACAGCCUUUUCAAUGGCGCAAAAAAACCCAAACACAAAUAAAAUAAAGGACCUGCCUGCAUCAUGACAGAACCAUCUGGCUUUUUCAAC
Non-coding RNA from Pelobates cultripes (western spadefoot toad), 728 nucleotides. The record is from the annotation of a GenBank genome assembly. NCBI's taxonomy places the organism in Eukaryota, Metazoa, Chordata, Amphibia, Anura, Pelobatidae.